Molecule: ribosomal RNA, 3126 nt
Filed under: Triticum aestivum (bread wheat)
Lineage: Eukaryota; Viridiplantae; Streptophyta; Magnoliopsida; Poales; Poaceae
Description: partial small subunit ribosomal RNA
Source: RNAcentral
UGGCCUAGCUCUGCGCCAGAGCGUAUCGGGGGAGGAGCUGAGGAGAGGGGGCUGGAGAGGGGAGAAAGAGGGUUAGCUAGAUCGCCGACCCGCAUAUAGGAAGGGCCGUCGCGGCGGCUGCUGCUGUAGUUGGAGCUGGUCGCCGGGGGGAGCGAGAAAGAGCUAGAGGUCGCCGUCACGCGUAUCGCUUUGCUGCCGUGGGAGAGACAACUAAAGAGAUGGUGCUGCCACACGAGCCUCGGCAGGAAAUUCCACCUUGCGUUAGCGGCGACAGCAGGUAGGGAAUUCCUUCUGGAAUACGACGGCGGUGACCGGAACACCGAGACCUCGGGGAGCGACCACGCGUUCGUCCUGUUUGCACGGUAUUCGUAGUUCCCUAAACCCCCUGAACCCCUUGAAUAGACGACCAGUACUGUGGGAGAGGAGACCUACAACUACAGUUUGGGAGGAGGUUCCACGUCCAUUUUGAAACACGAUACUCCAUUUCCUUUAUUAAGACCUCCUUUGAUUCCAAGUACAUACCAACUAGAAGGGUGUUUAAAACCUAACCACAGUAAAAUAAUUAUAUCAAUUAACCAAGAAUAUGUUUUAUAUUAAUACCAAAGGAUACAAGUCAAAAUCAAUGUACUACGGUAGUAGGAGUAUCAACACAAGACGUGAACAUAAAUAAAUACAAGAUAAGUCAAAAGAACACAUCUUCGUUGGUUGAUCUUUUCCGUCCUUCCCACAGAAUUACCAGUACAAAACCACGACGUAUGUUCCUCAAUGGACGAGACCCAAAAUAAAGUACUUCGUAUGAAGUUAGAAACUAUGUUCACUUUCUACCACAAUAACAGUCUGUCAUAACCAACAACGACUUCCUAAUGUAAUUAGUAAAAAGCGGUCCUUACAACACAGUAGGCUCGUAAAACGAGAUAUGCCCAUAUACGGAGAACUUUAGAGGGUUUAUUUUACGGAUGGAUACGAGUAAAGUUACCGCUAAAUAUCAAAUAUGAUACAUUAAGGAAGUUCAAAGAAAUAUAGUACCUUUUCAAAUAUAAGUAGUAUAAAAACAUCUUAAGAGUGUCGAGAUACACAAACUGUUAAACAAAGAAAAACAAUGUAGGUUAAUCCGUACUUUAUUCAAGGUAACAACAAAUGAAGUCUUCACAGAACGGAACAACACAGACACGCAGCGAUCUGGAGGAGAGGUUGAUAAGUACACACAACGCAACCUUUAGUAGCGUUUUCUCUAAUGUUACAUUAAAGCCAUCUAAAAAAUUACUGAAGUGAAACAGACUUACACCCUGGAUUAUCCGCUGUUUACAUUAUCAUAAAACUGAAUAGGUGAAAAUCACAUCGUACGGAUUCGCUCGGGCCUCUUUUGAAAACUUAUUAGAUGUACUGUCUAGUAUUUAGCCAAUGUAUAUAUUAAAAACUACAAUAUCUAGACUUUCGUUAGUCAAAAAAAUAUAACAAUGAGAUUUAGAGAUCCAUAGAUAAUGAAAUAAAUUAAGAUUAAAGAUUAAGUUUUUAGGGAAGUUACAAUAUUUACUCUUUAGAAGAUACACAUGGUAUAUAACUCAAAGUCUUCCUACGAUUCUACUAUCGUGACCUCGUGGUUGCAUCAAGGUCGUAUACAUGUACUAAGACAUCAGGGAGCCGACCUUCGUAAAUCAUGAAUGGUAAAAAGAUAAAAGGUUUACAAAUAAAGGUUGAAGAUCUCUAAUCGACUAGUUCACGGACUUUCUUUUGGUUAACGCUAUAUAUGACCUCAAUCGUUUUUUUAGUUCAUGUCAUAUGAUCUCACAUACUUGUAGAAUUUAAACAACAUUAUAUAGAGUCGUAGGUUUAAAAUAAAAAGGUGUAGUGUAUCUAAUAGAAAGAGAUUUAGCCGGGAAAAAGUCAAUACUCGUCGCUAUCAUGAUGUAGUUAUAAUAUUGAAUCCAUGCUAAUAAAAACGAGAGAUUAAGUACUCACAGAGACGAUAAUGACCUCAUCUCUGAACCAUAGAUUAAAAAUUGUACACUACAGUACCGUUGACACACCACUUGUACUGACUUGUAAUAUUUGAACGGAGUUCUUGUGUUUUCAGGUCAGGUGAAUAAAGCGACCAGGAGUAUUUAUGAGUACAUCGAAUAAUGUCAAGACUCCAUACGGUUUUUUAAUUCUGCCCAAAUUCACAGAUAAAGAAAUCUUACAGUUUGGGAAUAAUAAUGUUAAAGAUCUCUAUUUUGUUAGGAUUAUUAUCGAGAUCGGUCCAAAUUAAAUCCUGUAAUAAAAACCAACAACUUGUCCCAAAGUGACGGACAGUCACUAUCAAGUUUGAACUCUAUCGAGGUAUGGUCUACUUUUCUUCAUUGUGUUGUUCCCUCCCACGGUUACUCCGAUAUCUGAGAAUAACGAGUUUGAAUAAGUUGGAUUGACGUCUUUCAAACCAACAACGGCCUACUUCAACAACUUCUCCUAAGUUCAAAGUAAAUUUAUUUUUUUAACUAGCUGAGAAACGACUUUAAUUAAAGUCAUGUUUACGUAUUGUUCAUUAGUAUAGAUUGAACUCGUCGAGUUCCUGCGUGACCAAGGUAAGAUCCACACGACUGUAUAAUGCGUAUAAACGUAAAUAAGGUUAAGUGAAACCAAGAUUAUGAGAACCAGAAAACAGAAUGUGUUCUAGCUACAAUGAACGAUAUAGUCAAUACAACAGUACGCUGCUACACCAACGACUAACCAGCUGUAAAGUCAAACCUAGGAUAAAUUAAGUACGUUCACAUCGUUGUGGGAAAAGGUACGACAAAAAAACAUUCUGAAAAGUAAUAACUUACCCUAACAGCCAGAUAGUGAAAGGAUGUCGGACCAAAGAGAAGUUUUGACUUAAUGAUAUACUAAUCAUGUAUAGACAUAAUACAUCCUAUAACAAUAAACUAUAAGAUUGAUUCAUAGGAACAAUCGUGAGAAUAGUGUACUUACACUACUUGAGGUACUCUUUAUCGGUCCACGUAAUCCGAGUGGAUUCAGAAGAAACAAAGGCUUGUACCAGCGGGAAAUCAUGUCCAGACUUCUAAGCCCAUUACGUGGUACAUUUGUUAGAUGAAUAACCAGACUUGUAAAAAUAAAAUCUUCAUGCAGAAUAACGAAUAAUACAGAACC